AGUCUGCAUGGAGCCGACCUUGAAAUACCACCCUUUAAUGUUUGAUGUUCUAACGUGGACCCGUAAUCCGGGUUGCGGACAGUGUCUGGUGGGUAGUUUGACUGGGGCGGUCUCCUCCUAAAGAGUAACGGAGGAGCACGAAGGUUGGCUAAUCCUGGUCGGACAUCAGGAGGUUAGUGCAAUGGCAUAAGCCAGCUUGACUGCGAGCGUGACGGCGCGAGCAGGUGCGAAAGCAGGUCAUAGUGAUCCGGUGGUUCUGAAUGGAAGGGCCAUCGCUCAACGGAUAAAAGGUACUCCGGGGAUAACAGGCUGAUACCGCCCAAGAGUUCAUAUCGACGGCGGUGUUUGGCACCUCGAUGUCGGCUCAUCACAUCCUGGGGCUGAAGUAGGUCCCAAGGGUAUGGCUGUUCGCCAUUUAAAGUGGUACGCGAGCUGGGUUUAGAACGUCGUGAGACAGUUCGGUCCCUAUCUGCCGUGGGCGCUGGAGAACUGAGGGGGGCUGCUCCUAGUACGAGAGGACCGGAGUGGACGCAUCACUGGUGUUCGGGUUGUCAUGCCAAUGGCACUGCCCGGUAGCUAAAUGCGGAAGAGAUAAGUGCUGAAAGCAUCUAAGCACGAAACUUGCCCCGAGAUGA
Molecule: ribosomal RNA, 635 nt
Filed under: Salmonella enterica
Lineage: Bacteria; Pseudomonadati; Pseudomonadota; Gammaproteobacteria; Enterobacterales; Enterobacteriaceae
Description: partial 23S ribosomal RNA
Rfam family: Bacterial large subunit ribosomal RNA
Source: RNAcentral